UACGUAGGCAGCAAGCGUUGUUCGGAAUCACUGGGCGUAAAGGGCGCGUAGGUGGUGGCUUAAGCGUGCGGUGAAAGCUCGGGGCUCAACCCCGAGUCGGCCGUGCGAACUGGGCUCACUGGAGCAUAGUAGAGGCAGGUGGAAUUCCGGGUGUAGCGGUGGAAUGCGUAGAGAUCCGGAAGAACACCGGUGGCGAAGGCGGCCUGCUGGGCGUAUGGCUGACACUGAGGCGCGACAGCGUGGGGAGCAAACAGG
Molecule: ribosomal RNA, 255 nt
Filed under: uncultured bacterium
Lineage: Bacteria
Description: partial 16S ribosomal RNA
Rfam family: Bacterial small subunit ribosomal RNA
Source: RNAcentral